RNAcentral lists this ribosomal RNA (450 nucleotides) under uncultured Acaulospora. RNAcentral's name for it is "SSU rRNA". It matches the Rfam family "Eukaryotic small subunit ribosomal RNA", at positions 569 to 1022 of the family's 1831-position model. Lineage: Eukaryota; Fungi; Glomeromycota; Glomeromycetes; Diversisporales; Acaulosporaceae. The record is from RNAcentral.
AGCAGCCGCGGUAAUUCCAGCUCCAAUAGCGUAUAUUAAAGUUGUUGCAGUUAAAAAGCUCGUAGUUGAAUUUCGGGAUCUGUCUAUCGGUCGGGCUUUAUUGUCCGCACUGAUUUGAUGGAUUCUUACCUUCUGAAUAACCAUCAUGCCAUUAAUUUGGUGCGUUGGGGAAGCAGAGCUAUUACCUUGAAAAAUUAGAGUGCUUAAAGCAGGCUAGUGCUUGAAUAGAUUAGCAUGGAAUAAUAAAAUAGGACGGCAUGGUUCUAUUUUGUUGGUUUCUAGGAUCACCGUAAUGAUUAAUAGGGAUAGUUGGGGGCAUUAGUAUUCAAUUGUCAGAGGUGAAAUUCUUGGAUUUAUUGAAGACUAACUACUGCGAAAGCAUUUGCCAAGGAUGUUUUCAUUAAUCAAGAACGAAAGUUAGGGGAUCGAAGACGAUCAGAUACCGUCGUA